Molecule: transfer RNA, 89 nt
Filed under: Parvibium lacunae
Lineage: Bacteria; Pseudomonadati; Pseudomonadota; Betaproteobacteria; Burkholderiales; Alcaligenaceae
Description: tRNA-Leu
Rfam family: tRNA
About the family: Transfer RNA (tRNA) molecules are approximately 80 nucleotides in length. Their secondary structure includes four short double-helical elements and three loops (D, anti-codon, and T loops). Further hydrogen bonds mediate the characteristic L-shaped molecular structure. tRNAs have two regions of fundamental functional importance: the anti-codon, which is responsible for specific mRNA codon recognition, and the 3' end, to which the tRNAs corresponding amino acid is attached (by aminoacyl-tRNA synthetases). tRNAs cope with the degeneracy of the genetic code in two manners: having more than one tRNA (with a specific anti-codon) for a particular amino acid; and 'wobble' base-pairing, i.e. permitting non-standard base-pairing at the 3rd anti-codon position.
Source: RNAcentral
GCCCGGGUGGUGAAAUUGGUAGACACACAGGACUUAAAAUCCUGCGGGCCUAACAGCUCGUGCCGGUUCGAUUCCGGCCCCGGGCACCA